Long non-coding RNA from Ctenopharyngodon idella (grass carp), 683 nucleotides. RefSeq lists it as uncharacterized. The transcript has 3 exons. The record is from RefSeq and is a predicted model, not a curated record. NCBI's taxonomy places the organism in Eukaryota, Metazoa, Chordata, Actinopteri, Cypriniformes, Xenocyprididae.
UUAAAGCAGGCUCUUUUUGACCCUAUGAAUCACCCGUAGUUCAAGCCAGGGUUGCCAGGUCUGCGGUUUUUUCCUACAUCAAAUAUUAUUUGUAGCGCCUCCCAUCCAAUAAUCUCAAAAAGAUUUGUACUUUAUUACUUCUGAUAAAAAUUAAAGUUUCAGUUUUCAAAUUCUGUCCAUUUUAUCGUGAAAUUCAAACAAUACAUGGCGUUUUGACGCUCUUAAAUGUGUCAGAUCGCUGUAAUGCUUCAGUUCAGGCGGCAGCUCGGAGCGCGAGUCUUUUCUUCCUCUUUAAUACAAGUUAUAUAUCGAAAAACAUGAAUGAACAUCAAAGAUUUAAAAGCCAUGCCAUCGUAGACCUUUCUGCAGAGUCAGAAGGCAUUAUUGGAACCUUCUCGACCUUUCAGUAUUCUAGACUGUGACACUGGACCAAGUUCACUUAGAAAGCUGAAUUGGAAAAGAGAUCCUGACCCAAUGCAGAUCUGCUGGAUGCGUUUUAUGGCCUGAGAGACACAAGGAUGAAAUAUACAUGCUGAGGCAGAAAACAGCAUAUUCAAAAUUAUGACUAAAUUAUGCAUCACAUAGUGGCUGCCAAUAAAACAAUCAUUGCCAGUAUUGAGCAGUCUAUGUUAUAAUAGAAAAUUCAAUAUACACCUUGUUAUUCUGGAACUUUCAAAAAGUGG